UUCGAAUAGUUGGGAAAGUAGUUUAUCAUGCACUUCAGUAGCCAAUCUCACAGAUGAAGAACAAUGACAGCCUCUUCUCUAUUGAGCAAAGAGAAGGGGAGUCACUCAGAGACUAUAUGGUGCAUUUCAACACUGCCACAUUUGAAGUCUGAGACUUUAAUGAAUUCGUCACCAUGUCGGUGAUGAAUUGAGGACUCAAAGAUGAAUGCCUAAUCUUUUUUCUCAACAAAAACUUUUUGAAGGAUCAUAUUGAUCUUCUUACUCAAGCAUGAAAGUAUACACA
RNAcentral lists this long non-coding RNA (283 nucleotides) under Elaeis guineensis (African oil palm). Its description in RNAcentral is "long non-coding RNA (EGUI_LNC036005)". Lineage: Eukaryota; Viridiplantae; Streptophyta; Magnoliopsida; Arecales; Arecaceae. The record is from RNAcentral.